RNAcentral lists this ribosomal RNA (253 nucleotides) under uncultured bacterium. Its description in RNAcentral is "partial 16S ribosomal RNA". It matches the Rfam family "Bacterial small subunit ribosomal RNA", at positions 524 to 776 of the family's 1533-position model. The record is from RNAcentral.
GACGAAGGAUGCAAGCGUUAUCCGGAUUCAUUGGGUUUAAAGGGUGCGUCGGUGGCCUUAUAAGUCAGUGGUGAAAUCUCUGGGCUUAACCCAGAAAUUGCCAUUGAUACUGUAGGGCUUGAGUAUAGAUGCCGUUGGCGGAAUAUGACAUGUAGUGGUGAAAUACAUAGAGAUGUCAUAGAACACCGAUUGCGAAGGCAGCUAACGAAACUAUAACUGACACUGAGGCUCGAAAGUGUGGGGAUCAAACAGG